Molecule: long non-coding RNA, 821 nt
Filed under: Homo sapiens (human)
Lineage: Eukaryota; Metazoa; Chordata; Mammalia; Primates; Hominidae
Description: non-protein coding lnc-CCL2-2:1
Source: RNAcentral
AUUAACUCCCAGUUAAUGGGAUAAAAUGAGUUUGAAUCUGGGAUUCUGGUCAUUAACCCCAUGUCACCAUCUGCUCCAGCAGUUUGAUGGCAGGGCUAGGUGAAUUCUAAUCACCCAACACUUGUUAAACUGCUGAUUCCUGCUUCCCCACCUCUGCUGACUCAGCAUCUCUGGGGUGGGGCCUGCAAAGGCUCUCUUCCUUGACGGGGUUAUUGAGGGCAGCUCUAGGAACCCACCCAGGACCAGACCUGAUGAGGAGUUCCUCCUAUGCAUCAGUCUACUUCUGUCCCUCUUUCCCCUGCGAAGGAAAAAUAGAAGAAAGAAGCCAUCUCUGUUUGCUUUCUCCCUGUCACUCAAUCUCUGGAGCCAACUGCUUCACAAAUAAAGAGAAGUGCACAGAGAGUCCCUGAAGCCCACCAUCAACAGACAGGCUUUCAACAAAACUGUAUCAGCACCGCCUUGGCCAUAGCUACACUCUACAGAAAAUGGGAGAGAGGAACAGCGCUAGAGAAGUUUGUCCUUGCCUGGUUCCCGGGUGGAACUUCCUCUCCCCCUUGUGUUCUAUGCGUGUGGUUACAGCUGCCUCUGAUCUUUGGUGACCAGCGGUUGGCAGUGGUGGUAUUUCAGCAUACCUUGAUCAUCGUGCUUAUUACACAGCCUCCUUUACCAUCAACCCUACCUACCUUCUUCUAGCCAUGCCCCCCACCUCCUCCCGUCUCUAUCCAUCUCUUCGCUCUUUUAAAAAAUACUUAAGUGUGUACAGAUCACAGUGACUUCAUUUGUGUGCCCAUUCACAUUUGAUGACUUCCAUAACCCCCAUA